This 91-nucleotide transfer RNA is filed under the name Candidatus Odinarchaeota archaeon. Its description in RNAcentral is "tRNA-Sec". It matches the Rfam family "Selenocysteine transfer RNA". RNAcentral also lists the same sequence under 3 other names. The record is from RNAcentral. Lineage: Archaea; Promethearchaeati; Candidatus Odinarchaeota.
GGCCUUCUACAGAGCUAGUGGUCUGGCUCCGUGGGCUUCAAACCCAUGAUCGUGCAAGCGAUAAGAGUUCGAUUCUCUUAGAAGGCCGCCA